UAGUCAAAAUUAAGAUAAUAUUAUUAUAAAAUCAACAUAAUAACAAUAAUUCAGGACUAAUCAAGAAGUCAAACAAACUACUUACUAAAAUCUCCAAGACCCGAAAGUCAUCAUACAAGAACUAAUAACAAAGAUCAUGUCUAAAGAGAUUUCCAAAAAUAAAGUAAAUAAAGAUUGUUUUCAUUGCCCGAAAUAUGGACAAGAACAAAUAAGAUGACCCAUGGCAUCCUGGAGACGAAGUGCUCACCCUUGGAUCAAGAUCUGCUAUCAAACUCUAGAGGUAAGGUCAUGUCUGAGCCUCUAGAACACUUUCUGCAUUCAACAAAAGAAGAGUACAGGGUAGUAUCAGUACAAACCACUAUGUACUGGUAGGUAUCAUAGGCCAACUCAAUUUAAUAACAUGUACACAACAUAAAUCAAAUAACAAGUAAUCAGGCAUCGUCACAUAAUAAAUAUUCAAGGAAUCAACAAUACAGCAACAACAGGUCAAACAAUGCUCACAAACAAGCCACAUAACCAUCAAAAGAAUCAACCAUACUGUAAACAUCCACAGAAUCAACACAAAUACGUACACACAUGCUAACAUAUCCGCACUGGCGUGGUACCCGAUCCAACAUAUACAUAUCCAUACCGGUGCGGUACCCGAUCCAACAUAUACAUAUCCGUAUCGGCGUGGUACCCGAUCCAACAUAUACAUAUCCGCACCGGCGUGGUACUCGAUCCAACAUAUACAUAUUCCCACCGGCGUGGUACCCGAUCCAGCAUAUAUAUAUUCGUACUAGCAUGGUACCCAAUCCAACAUCUACAUAUCUGUACCGGCGUGGUACCUGAUCCAACAUAUAUAUAUUCGUACCGGCAUGGUACCCGAUCCAACAUAUACAUAUUUGUAUCGGUAUGGUACCCAAUCCAACAUAUACAUAUCCGUACCGGAGUGGUACCUAAUCCAACAUAUACAUAUCCGUACCGGCGUGGUACCCGAUCCAAUAUAUACAUAUUCGUACCGGCAAGGUAUCCAAUCCAACAUAUACAUAUCCGUACCAACGUGGUACCCAAUCUAACAUAUACAUAUCCGUACCGGUGUGGUACCCGAUCCAACAUAUACAAGUAAUAUCAAUAUAAAAUUUAUACUAUCUCACAGCAUACAACAUGAAGCACCAAGUUUACAAGUACACUUAAAGUCAUAAGAUAAUUUCAUCAAGUAAAUUUUCAAAACUUAUUUAUACACGCAUCAACAAUCCAAACAUCAGUAAUUUCAAGCACGUCCAAAUACCAAUCAACAAGUAUUCAAUUUAGGAGCACACACACAAUAAAGUCGAGUCUAAACUCCAAUUAAGCCGUAACCUACCUCAACCGAAGAAUCCAACUGCAAGCUAAUUUGCAAGGGUCUUGCCCUUCCGUAAAACUUCCAAAUAUUUCAAAGUUGUACAAAUAUAUAAUCCUCAUAAGAGUACGAACUAGUACAUUAAAUUUCAACUAAAAAGAUUCAUCCUUCUACCUCCAAAUCAAGAAUUGCCACCCUAAGAAUUCUAGACCAAAAAUUCUAAAUGUCACAUUAUAUCCGAUAAUCACUCAGUAAUUUUUGAAACCAAAACUGAAAAGAAAAGAAUAAAAGUUGUUACUCCUGGACUUUAUGCGUGAACAGGAAACUGUAACUUACAAAUUGCAUGAGAAAUAUAACUUUUGGCACUCUAUAUCAUUAUUAUCUUAUAAUUAGCAAUCAUUACUUUACCACUAAUUUGUAUAGUCAAUGAUUAACUAAUCAUGACAACUAUAGGUAUUACUUACUUAACAGAAAACAAUUUAUCCAAAUCUUUCUUUUUUUUACGAUCUUCAUUGUACCGUGGUUAUAUACCCAAUACACCCUAUAGCACUGUCAUAAGAGAAUGAUUAAUUAAUCAUUACUUUAUUAUAUAUUUACUAAUUAAAUCAAAUUCUUAAUAUAGUAGGAAGCUAACCUGAAAGAUGUCAGAAUUCUAUGAAGCGGUAAUGGAAACUAGGAUUUGCUACCCAUCGUUCACCUCUUCUUCCGACUAUUUGCUUCUAUUUUUAUUAUAUAAAGUAAAGCCUUCCCACUUAAAUUAAUUCUUGUAUUGGCCUUAUAAGAAAAUAAAUUAAAACUUUGGCCCACUAAAUCGUUAUUAAAUUCAUUAUUUAAAAUACCCAAGACUUAUAAUAGAUCAUCGAAAUUUAUCAGGACCUCGAGAAAAUGAUUCAAAUAAUGACUUAAAUCACUUCCGUACAUCUCAAAAAUUGAUACUACUUAUCCGGUGGGUCAUAAAUUCACGUGCAUAAAUUUCGGAGAGAGCUAAAAUUGGGAAGAUGAGAAAUUUUCACAAAUGAUCGGAAGGAUCGUUACAUCAGAUACCAAUUAAACAACCGUUCGUCCUCCAACGAUAACAAGUAACAAGGAGGGAAAACAAGAAAUUAUAUGUAUCAGUAAAAAGAUUUAGAUACUUGCUACACAUGUCUGCUUCGAUCUCCCAACUGGCUUUCUCAAUAGGACGAUUCCACCACUGGACUUUCACAGACUCAAUCUCCUUAGUCCUCAACUUACGGACAACCAAAUACCUAGCCGAGCCUAUGUGUACCCCCACCGCCCCAGACUCGAAAGGUUCAAUCAACAUACAACAACACAAGACAUAUUCUUCACCCAUAUAUAUGUAACCGUCCUAUACCGGCUGAUAAAUAUAGGUACAUACUGGUGAUAGGCGAUGCGCAUGCAGGAAUGAAUGCAAAGUACACAAUCAAUAUCACAACUCAUCAUAACUAUCCUCAUUAGGACCAUCAUCAUCGUAAUCAACCUUCGGCCUUGCCGAAUAUCAACACACCAUCAAUAGUAUCCUCAGGCCUUGCCGGGUGUCAACAUGUUAUAAAUAUAUUCUCCGACCUUUUCAGAUAUCAACAUCAUCACAACAGUAUCCUCCGGCCUUGUCGAGAAUUAAUAUAUCAUCAUAGUAGUCAUUACUGAAUAACAUACACUAAAAUACUCAUAAAAAAUAGUCAUUUCACCAUAGAAUAUCUAUCUAGUCAAUACUUCUCAACUACACGUUAUUAGCUAACCAACACUUAUUAUAAUAGAAUUACUAGUUCGCUAGUCAUAACAUAACCUCUAGUUAUUAGCCUAAACAUUAUCCACAUAAUCCUUAUUCCCGGGAUAGAAACUAACCAUUAUUUAUUUAAGAGCCAACAUCUAACAUCUAGUCAAGGUUCAUCACUUGACCAAAACCAUCAUUUAUCCACCAUUCAUUAUUAUCAACUAAUCAUCCUAUAUCCGUUAUUCAUUACUAGACAAUACAUUACUAUAUGUCACCUAACCAUCUUUUAUUAACUGACACCAUUCAUUAUCUAACCAUCGUUUACCAACCAAUCCUUACUUAACUAUUCAUUAGUUAACGAUUUAGAAUCUAUUCAAAGUUAUUAACUAGUCGCCUCUUAUUACCAACAUCUCUUAUUAUCUAGCCUCAUUAACACACAACUCCUCAUUUAUGACUAAUCGACAUCAUGAACUUAGUCAUCAAUACCAACUAAUCUUCAUCUAUACUAGACCCGACCAUACUAUAAGUCACGCAUUAAUCAUCGCUAGCUACUAUGUUUCAACUAAUCAAGAUUCAUUAAUUAAUACAUUAGAUUAAUAGCCAUCACACGUAUCCAAUUAAUAAAGUCGUAAGUAGCAUACCUUAUCUUCCUCUAUCUCAUACCGGAGAGAUGUGUAUACAAACAUAUAUAUAUUCAUAAACUGUAAUCAUAUCCUUUACACUGAUAAACACUCCUCAGAUAUUCAAUCAUUAUCAUAACAUGGCCUUUGGCUCGUUAAUUUAUCUGGAAUAGUCACAACAUCAUAAUCACGACCUUAGGCCCAUAUACAUAUCCAAAACUCAUAUUGAUAAUCAUAUUUAUAAGUCGUAGCAUAUCUCUAAUCAUCUCACAUAUAGGAGGUAUCUCACAUAUUGAAGGCAUAAUAUAGAUAGAUAUGUAAUUGUUUAUAGGAUAUCUUAUAUUGAUAGGUCAUACAUUAUGACCACGAGGAAUAUCACCUCUCUAGGCCAAUUUGCAUAUCUAAGAGGAACAUCGUCUCUAUAGGUCUAAUAAUCAUGACUAAAGGAAAUAGCAACUCUAUGGGUCGAUUAUCUCGUCUAAGAGGAAAUAGCAUCUCUAUAGGACACAUAACGUAUCUAGGAGGGAUAUCAUCUCUAAAUGUCCAAUAUCACUUCCAUAAGAAGUAUCCUAACCAUAAUUCAAAAGCCACAUUCCGGGAACAUCAAUAUAAGUUACCAUGUUAUGAAGUAACCUUAUUCUAAGCUUUACUAGCCUCAUUUAUGUCUAACAUCCGCAACUAAGUCCACAAGACUUAUCACAAGUUUAGGUCUAAGUGGGUUAAACGAUCCCACUUCUAAUUCUCAAUUUCCACAAUUAGGCUCACUAUGCCCCAAACUAGGCUAAGGUAUCUAGUUCAUCUUCUAGAUGUCAAGUAAGUCAUAUUCAAGCCUAAGAUAGCAACUUCGACUAAAAAUAAGGAUACUCAAGUCAACUCUACCCAACUUACGGUUUCAAGACUACCACACAAGCCCAAAAAAGCUAAAUAUACAAAUCAUGCUUCAAAUACUAAAACCACAUCCCACAUAGAGGUUUACAUCAUAACCACGCUACAACUAAUCUAAAAUAGAGAGGGGAAGCAAUAGAACUCAAAAGGGUUAUAAGCAUGCCAUUUUAUGGAUCCCAAGCCCGCAUCUAAACUCCAAACAUCAACAAUCGAGUCCAAGUCAUCCUACUCAUAACAAGCCUAACAUCUAUACCCACACCCAAUAUAUAUCACACAUCAUCUAUGAAGAAAAGUAGACAGAAGUCUACCAGAACCCACACUUAGAAAACUUUACAUUAAGCUUUUUAUCUUCUAACAAACCUAAAACAAUCCUUAAUUAUUUUAUGAAUGUAACUAAGCCAUUUGAUUUUGCAUUGCCAUUAUCAUGGAAAUUACUAUCCUCUAAAAGUGUCAUAUAUCAACAACUUUGGGGGACAUGCAAAUGUAUAAUUCAGCCACAAGGUCAAGUAAUAAUAAUUUGUCUUCCCAAAAUUUUUUCUAAUGCAUAAAUCCACAGCUACAACUUAUGUCCUAACAAUCACUAACACAAUAUUUUUCAACGACAAACACUUCAUGGUCAAGCCAAACCUCUCUUAUAUCAUUAACACCAAUUUAAGAUAUACAGAAUCAUUCUUAUUUCUACUUAACAAUAUUUUUAUUACGGAUUUUACUUGACUCUUAAUCACCUCAAGAGUGGUCCCCACACCACUAGCACAUAAGCAAGGUCAAACAAAAUAAAUCGAUUAUAGGUCAUUGAUAGUCUCAUCACCAAUAUCACAUUUCAGACAAGUCCUUGAUCAAAUUCUAUAGGUAUCAACAACCUCUACUAGUUUUUGUCACCUUUAUUUAAAAAUCAUUAUUUUGUCAAGCAUUAAGAAUUCAUUCACAUAAGGAACUCAAAGAUAAUGUCACUUAGCUAGUCCUCACAAGGAACCCAUUAUAAUUUCAAUAAUAGAACUGCAAAAAAAAUUCUAAAUAAGAUCUUAAUGACCGGACCACACAAGGAUCUCCAAAUAAUAUCAAAUAAUCAAACUACACAAGGAUCCAUCCACAACAUCAUUAACAAGAACCUCUCAUUACGGAAAACACAUAUUACCUAAGUCUUUUAUUCAUGUCACUUUUUCACCAUCUUUUCUUGACAUCUUAUUCUCAUAUCAUCAUCUUAAUUCUCAUAACAUCAAUCGCAUCAGUAUAAUAGUACCAAAAAUAAGUAAGUACCAUAGAAUUUCUAGUUUCAUAAUAACAAGAAAUCAAAUAAUCCCAUCACAUUUAUCAAUAAAAACAACUUAGUCAAUUUUCAUCACUUAACAAAAAUAAUUCACAACAAUAACAAAAAUCUAGCAAUACAAGUUUAGCCAAAUAUCAAACACAAGCAAUCAAUAAGUUCACAACUUUCACAAGUCUUUACCUAUUAACACUUUUAAACCUUAUUAACAGAUACCAAUUGGAAUAUCCUAGAUUUUUAUUCAAAAUUAUUAAGAUACCAAUUAGAAUUGUUCUAAAUACCAAUAACAUUCAAUCUAGUAGUCCAAAAUUAGGACGGCUCGAUUGAGAGAGAGAAACAAAAAUGACUUCUACAUGCCUCAUAGCCUUACGAAGAUUGGGUGUGGGGUCCUACACACCAAUCAACGGAACUCUACUUGACAUUAAUCUCAUUAACAGAUACCAAUUGGAAUCGCCAGAUACCAAAUGAAUCCAAGUAAUAGCAUGUAAGAAAGAAGAAUUUGAAUUUUCCUAUAGUCUUAUAACCUCUCGAGAAAAAGUACGGACGUCUCCGUACCAUUCCGCUAGACUUUACUAGACAUGUUCUUAUACGACGAGAUCGACGAACCUAGGGAUAAGAUCGACGAACCUAGGGCUCUGAUACCAACUUUAUCACAACCCAAAAGGCCAUGACCGGCACCCACACUAAUCUUCCUGUGGGAGAACCAUAUAAAUCGAACCAUUACUUAAUCACUUAGUCAAGAUUAAGAUAAUAUUAUUAUAAAAUCAACAUAAUAACAAUAAUUCAGGACUAAUCAAGAAGUCAAACAAACUACUUACUAAAAUCUCCAAGACACGAAAGUCAUCGUACAAGAACAACUAACAAAGAUCAUGUCUAAAGAGAUAUCCAAAAAUAAAGUAAAUAAAGAUUGUUUUCAUUGCUCCAAAGAUGGACAAGAACAAAUAAGAUGACCCAUGGCAUCCUGGAGACGAAGUGCUCACCCUUGGAUCAAGAUCUGCUAUCAAACUCUAGAGGUAAGGUCAUGUCUGAGCCUCUAGAACACUUUCUGCAUUCAACAAAAGAAGAGUACAGGGUAGUAUCAGUACAAACCACUAUGUACUGGUAGGUAUCAUAGGCCAACUCAAUUUAAUAGCAUGUACAUAACAUAAAGCAAAUAACAAGUAGACAGGCAUCGUCACAUAAUAAAUAUUCAAUGAAUCAAUAAUACAGCAACAACAGGACAAACAAUGCUCACAAAACAGUCACAUAACCAUCAAAUGUAUCAACCAUACUGUAAAUAUCCACAGAAUCAACAGAAAUAUGUACACACAUGUUAACAUAUUCGUACCAGCGUGGUACCCGAUCCAACAUAUACAUAUUCAUAUCGGCGUGGUACCCGAUCCAAUAUAUACAUAUCCGUACAGGCGUGGUACCCGAUCCAACAUAUACAUAUGCAUACCGGCGUGGUACCCGAUCCAACAUAUACAUAUUCGUACCGGCAUGGUACCCGAUCCAACAUAUACAUAUUCGUACCGGCAUGGUACCUGAUCCAAUAUAUACAUAUUCGUACCGGCGUGGUACCCGAUCCAAUAUAUACAUAUUCGUAUCGGCGUGGUACCCAAUCCAACAUAUACAUAUCCGUACCGGCGUGGUACCCGAUCCAACAUAUACAUAUCCGUACUGGUGUGGUACCCGAUCCAACAUAUACAUAUCCGUACCGGUGUUGUACCCGAUCCAACAUAUACAUAUCCAUACCAGCGUGGUACCCGAUCCAACAUAUACAUAUCCGUACCGACGUGGUACCCGAUCCAACAUAUAUAUAUUCAUAUCGGCGUGAUACCCCAUCCAACAUAUACAUAUCCAUACUGGCGUGGUACCCAAUCCAACAUAUACAUAUCCGUACCGGCGUGGUACCCAAUCCAACAUAUACAAGUAAUAUCAAUAUCAAAUUUAUACUAUCUCACAGUAUACAACAUGAUGUACCAAGUUUACAAGUACACUUAAAGUCAAAAGAUAAUUUCAUCAAGUAAAUUUUCAAAACUCAUUUAUACAUGCAUCAACAAUCCAAACAUCAACAAUUUCAAGCAUGUCCAAAUACCAAUCAACAGGUAUCCAAUUUAGGAGCAUACACACAAUUAAGUCGAGUCUAAACUUCAAUUAAGCCAUAACCUACCUCAACCGAAGAAUCCAACUGCAAGCUAAUUUGCAAGGGUCUUGCCCUUCCGUAAAACUUCCAAAUGUUUCAAAUCUGUUCACAUAUAUAAUCUUCAUAAGAGUAAGAACUAGUACAUUUAAUUUCAACUAAAAAGAGUCAUCCUUCUACCUCCAAAUCAAGAAUUGCCACCCUAAGAAUUCUAGACCAAAAAUUCUUAAUGUCACAUUAUAUCCGAUAAUCACUCAGUAAUUUUCGAAACCAAAACUGAAAAGAAAAGAACAAAAGUUGUUACUACUGGACGUUAUGCUUGAAUAAGAAACUGCAAGUUACAAAUUGCAUGAGAAAUAUAACUUUUGGCACUCUAUAUCAUUAUUAUCUAAUAAUUAGCAAUCAUUACUUUACCACUAAUUUGUAUAAUCAAUGAUUAACUAAUCAUGGCCACUAUAGGUAUUACUUGCUUAACAGAAAACAAUUUACCCAAAUCUUUCUUUUUUUACGAUCUUCACUGUACCGUGAUUAUAUACCCAAUACAUCCUAUAGCACUGUCAUAAGAGAAUGAUUAACUAAUCAUUACUUCAUUAUAUAUUUACUAAUUAAAUCAAAUUCUUAAUGGAAACUAGGGUUUGCUAACCAUCGUUCACCUCUUCUUCUGACUAUUUGCUUCUAUUUUU
Molecule: long non-coding RNA, 8609 nt
Filed under: Capsicum annuum
Lineage: Eukaryota; Viridiplantae; Streptophyta; Magnoliopsida; Solanales; Solanaceae
Description: long non-coding RNA (CANN_LNC007375)
Source: RNAcentral